AUUUAAUAAUCAAAAAUAGGUUCUACGGACUGUUGGUCCAUAGAUUAAAAGGGAAGAUGGGUAUAAAUCCCACACGGUCCCGCCGCUGUGAUAGUGUAGUCUUUUCCAUAUACCACUGGGAAACUGGGAAGGUGGAAAAGAUGCUAAUGCUUAAGUCAGAAUACCUGCCUAUUUUUAAUUACUAUG
Molecule: non-coding RNA, 186 nt
Filed under: Tissierella praeacuta
Lineage: Bacteria; Bacillati; Bacillota; Tissierellia; Tissierellales; Tissierellaceae
Also listed under: 1 other name
Source: RNAcentral